RNAcentral lists this ribosomal RNA (2718 nucleotides) under Triticum aestivum (bread wheat). RNAcentral describes it as "partial small subunit ribosomal RNA". Lineage: Eukaryota; Viridiplantae; Streptophyta; Magnoliopsida; Poales; Poaceae. The record is from RNAcentral.
AUGGAGAAAGCACGCGCAGCCAUCCUCUUCCUGCUACUCCUCGUCGAUUUCGCCGUAGCAGCACAAAACGCCACCGCCGGCGAAGCAGAUGGAUUCCACGUCGGGGUGAUCCUCGACCUUGGAUCGCCGGUGGGCAAAGUGGCGCGGACCAGCGUUCUGCUGGCCGUCCAAGAUUUCUACGCGGUCCACCGGAACUACAGCACGAAGCUUGUUCUCCAUAUUAGGGACUCCAUGGGCAGCGAUGUCCGGGCUGCAUCAGCAGCUAUUGAGUUACUAGAGAAAUACAAAGUGCAAGCCAUCAUUGGUCCCCAGAAAUCGUCAGAAGCUGUGUUCAUAUCCAAUCUUGGAAAUUUAACCCAAGUCCCCAUAGUAUCAUUCACGGCAACAAGUCCCUCUCUCACUUCUGAUAGUAGACCAUAUUUUGUACGAGCAACACUGGAUGACUCGGCUCAAGUGAAUAGCAUUGCCUCGCUUGUACAAGCCUAUGGAUGGAGAGAAGUGGUGGCAAUAUAUGAUGACACUGAAUAUGGGAGAGGCAUUCUACCAUACCUCAUUGAUGCACUUCAUGAAAUUGAUGCCCGCAUCGCGUAUCGCAGUGUCAUCCCUUCAAUGGCAACAAAUGAGAACAUUGUGCAAGAACUCACUGGGUUGAUGGCAAUGCAAACAAGAGUAUUUAUUGUUCAUAUGUCAUCCACUAUGACUUCCCUUCUUUUUACGAAGGCAAAAGAGGUAGGGAUGAUGAACAAGGGAUUUGUGUGGAUCACCACGAAUGGAGUGGCAAACAUCAUCGACUCACUCAGUUCGAGUGUCAUUGAGGCAAUGAAUGGUGUGCUAGGAGUAAGGUAUCAUGUUCCCAGAUCACAAGAACUAGACAACUUAUCCAUAAGGUGGAACAGAAUGUACCAACAGGAUAACCCAGAUGAAUCACCCUUCAACAAACUAAGCAUUGUUGGACUAUGGGGCUAUGAUACUAUAUGGGCAUUCGCACAUGCAGCAGAAAAGGUUGGGAUAUCUAGCGCCAAAGAUAAGCAACGAUGGUCCACUAAAAACUCCACAUGCUUGGAAUCCAUGGUUAUUUCCACUAACGGCCCUGAACUCUUAUCAGCAAUUGUACAAAAUAAUUUCAGAGGUUUAAGUGGUGAAUUUGACCUUAAAGACAGGAGACAGCUCCAAGUUUGUGUGUUCCAGAUAAUAAACGUGAUUGGGAGAGGUUGGCGAGAAAUUGGGUUUUGGAGUGCGGAAAGUGGACUUUCACGACAGUUAAAGCAAGAUGACUUUAGAAAAACAGGACCAUCCUCGAUGCUUGAUCUAAAUCCUGUAAUUUGGCCAGGAGACUCAACUGAAAUACCAACGGGCUUGGAAAUUCCUACAGUUAGUAAGAAUCUUAGAGUUGGUGUCCGCUCGAGUGAAUAUCCAGAGUUUAUAAAUGCAUACAAACAUCCUACCACAAAUAAAAUAAAAGCGAGUGGGCUGGUAAUUGACAUAUUUGAGGAGGUAGCAAAGAAUCUUUCACUUCAUUUUGACUACUUCCUAUUUGGCACAACUGAUACAUCAACUACGGGGACCUACAAUGAUUUCGUUUACCAAGUCUAUCUCCAGGUUUAUGACAUAGCGGUGGCAGAUACUACUAUAAGAUACAACAGGUCACUGUAUGUCGACUUCACCGUACCAUACACGGAAUCCGGAGUAGGGAUGAUUGUUCCGGUGAAGGAUAACAUGUUAAAGGAUUUGUGGCUUUUUUUGAAACCAUUUAGCACUAUGAUGUGGUUUGGCAGCAUUUUAUUCUUUAUGUACACAGGAGUCGUUGUCUGGCUGCUGGAGUGUCUAAAUGGCAAUGAACAUGCUCAUGGUCCCUUUUCACUCAAACAACUGGCGACUACAAUAUUCUCCAUUUUUGAAGAGAAGGAGGAGUUGUCAAGCUUUGGAGCUAAAAUUGGUCUGCGUGUAUGGAAGAUUGUUGCUCUGGUACUUGCAGCGAGCUAUACAGCAAGCUUUGCAUCAAUGCUUACAGUACAACAGCUUUCACCAACUGUGAUUGAUGUACACAAGCUCCAGAAGCGUGGCGACUAUGUAGGGUUCCACCAAGGUUCCUAUAUAGAGGGUCUACUGUUGGAUAUUGGUUUUCAUACAUCAAAGAUCAGGGGCUAUGCUACACCUGAUGAUUUCUAUGGUGCUCUUUCUAAUGGAAGCAUUUCUGCGCUUGUACUUGAAAUCCCAUACAUCAACCUAUUUCUUGCAAAGUACAACCAAGGUUACACAAUGGUGGGGCCUAUUUACAAGAGUGCGGGUUUUGCAUUUGCGCUUCCCAAGAAUUCUACGCUACGCGCUGACAUGUCGACGGCAAUACUCAACAUAACAGGAGGAGAUACUAUCAUUCAAUUUGAAAAAAAAUGGAUAAAUCAGGGCAACCAUCAAACUAACAGCGUGCCCGAUGGUUCAGGUGCUAUCAAUUUCGAAAGUUGUGGGGGGUUAUUCCUCAUAACUGGAGUUGUGACAACCGGUUCCCUUCUUGUGGCCAUGCUGAUGAACCGCUACAAAAAGCAUCGACAGAAUGCAGGGGACAAAGAAGAUGACCAGAACGAACGCGGACAUGGCCAAGAGAAUGAGAACAUGGAUGAGCAAGGCGAUCAAAACAGCGAUGGAGAGGGAACUGAAUUGAUAGAGAGCCAAACAACACUGUCGGUGCCUCACAGUUCGCACGGAGAUGGUGACCAGCUU